Molecule: unclassified non-coding RNA, 866 nt
Filed under: Hevea brasiliensis (rubber tree)
Lineage: Eukaryota; Viridiplantae; Streptophyta; Magnoliopsida; Malpighiales; Euphorbiaceae
Source: RNAcentral
GAGCUCUUCUCUUUCAUUUCUUGAUUCCAGUUUCAAAAAUUUUUGAAAGAAAGGUAGAUUUUUAUCCUAAUCUUAAAUGAGAAUCAUUAAAUAGAUAACAAGUAAAAGAAGUCGUUCAAGAUCUUAGGGGAAAUAAAGGAGUUCGCUUUUUCUUUCUUAAUGGCUGAGAUAUGCUGUGGCGUAGUAAGUGACAGUGAAGCGUCGAUGCCUUGUGAAGGGAGUCCGAGAGCAGCUAGGCGGAGGAGAAUGGAGAUCAGACGGUUCAAAUUCGUCACAGGUGUUGUCCCAUCCUCGCCGGAGACGGCAGAAAGUAAUAAACGGCGUAAAAUUGAAGUUCACACGGCCUUAUUGCCAGCUUCUCGCCACGAGGACUCAGUAGUGAAGAAUCAAGACAAAAGAAUCGUACUAAAGGUUGAAAAUGGAAAAUUGGAAACUACAGAUAUUAUAUUUUCAAGCAAGUCUCUGAAUCUGGUUCUAAGUCCGACCUUUUCAUCACCUCCCAUUGAUCCAGACUUGUAUCCGAAAUACGGCGUCGCUUCAGUCUGCGGAAGGAGAAGAGACAUGGAAGAUGCUGUGGCAAUUUACCCUUUUUUCUGUUGCAAGGACCAAGAUUCCACUACUGAAUUACACUAUUUUGGCGUCUACGACGGCCAUGGUUGCUCUCACGUGGCAGUCAGGUGCAGAGAGAGACUGCAUGAGCUGGUGAAGGAAGAAUUGCUAGAGAGCAAGGAAGCAACAGUAGUAGAGGCGGCGACGGCGAAAUGGAAAAGCGCGAUGGAGAGGAGCUUCUCGCGGAUGGACAAAGAGGUGAUCGCGUGGAAUGAAGGUGUCGUUGGCGCUAGUUGCAGGUGUGAGAUGCAAACCCC